CAGCCGCCGCGGGAAUACGAAGGGGGCUAGCGUUGCUCGGAAUGACUGGGCGUAAAGGGCGCGUAGGCGGCGGCCAAAGUCAGGCGUGAAAUUCCUGGGCUCAACCUUGGGGCUGCGCUUGAUACUUGGUUGCUUGAGUGGGGAAGAGGGUCGUGGAAUUCCCAGUGUAGAGGUGAAAUUCGUAGAUAUUGGGAAGAACACCGGUGGCGAAGGCGACUCUCUGGUCUGUAACUGACGCUGAGGAGCGAAAGCGUGGGGAGCGAACAGGAUUAGAUACCCCGGUAGUCCCUGUCUCUUAUAC
Molecule: ribosomal RNA, 301 nt
Filed under: uncultured bacterium
Lineage: Bacteria
Description: partial 16S ribosomal RNA
Rfam family: Bacterial small subunit ribosomal RNA
Source: RNAcentral